Molecule: ribosomal RNA, 1443 nt
Filed under: uncultured organism
Description: SSU rRNA
Rfam family: Bacterial small subunit ribosomal RNA
Source: RNAcentral
UUGAUGAACGCUAGCUACAGGCUUAACACAUGCAAGUCGAGGGGCAGCAUGGUCUUAGCUUGCUAAGGCCGAUGGCGACCGGCGCACGGGUGAGUAACACGUAUCCAACCUGCCGUCUACUCUUGGACAGCCUUCUGAAAGGAAGAUUAAUACAAGAUGGCAUCAUGAGUCCACAUGUUCACAUGAUUAAAGGUAUUCCGGUAGACGAUGGGGAUGCGUUCCAUUAGAUAGUAGGCGGGGUAACGGCCCACCUAGUCUUCGAUGGAUAGGGGUUCUGAGAGGAAGGUCCCCCACAUUGGAACUGAGACACGGUCCAAACUCCUACGGGAGGCAGCAGUGAGGAAUAUUGGUCAAUGGGCGAGAGCCUGAACCAGCCAAGUAGCGUGAAGGAUGACUGCCCUAUGGGUUGUAAACUUCUUUUAUAAAGGAAUAAAGUCGGGUAUGCAUACCCGUUUGCAUGUACUUUAUGAAUAAGGAUCGGCUAACUCCGUGCCAGCAGCCGCGGUAAUACGGAGGAUCCGAGCGUUAUCCGGAUUUAUUGGGUUUAAAGGGAGCGUAGAUGGAUGUUUAAGUCAGUUGUGAAAGUUUGCGGCCCAACCGUAAAAUUGCAGUUGAUACUGGAUAUCUUGAGUGCAGUUGAGGCAGGCGGAAUUCGUGGUGUAGCGGUGAAAUGCUUAGAUAUCACGAAGAACUCCGAUUGCGAAGGCAGCCUGCUAAGCUGCAACUGACAUUGAGGCUCGAAAGUGUGGGUAUCAAACAGGAUUAGAUACCCUGGUAGUCCACACGGUAAACGAUGAAUACUCGCUGUUUGCGAUAUACGGCAAGCGGCCAAGCGAAAGCGUUAAGUAUUCCACCUGGGGAGUACGCCGGCAACGGUGAAACUCAAAGGAAUUGACGGGGGCCCGCACAAGCGGAGGAACAUGUGGUUUAAUUCGAUGAUACGCGAGGAACCUUACCCGGGCUUAAAUUGCAGAUGAAUUACGGUGAAAGCCGUAAGCCGCAAGGCAUCUGUGAAGGUGCUGCAUGGUUGUCGUCAGCCCAUGCCGUGAGGUGUCGGCUUAAGUGCCAUAACGAGCGCAACCCUUGUUGUCAGUUACUAACAGGUUCCGCUGAGGACUCUGACAAGACUGCCAUCGUAAGAUGUGAGGAAGGUGGGGAUGACGUCAAAUCAGCACGGCCCUUACGUCCGGGGCUACACACGUGUUACAAUGGGGGGUACAGAGGGCCGCUACCACGCGAGUGGAUGCCAAUCCCCAAAACCUCUCUCAGUUCGGACUGGAGUCUGCAACCCGACUCCACGAAGCUGGAUUCGCUAGUAAUCGCGCAUCAGCCACGGCGCGGUGAAUACGUUCCCGGGCCUUGUACACACCGCCCGUCAAGCCAUGGGAGCCGGGGGUACCUGAAGUGCGUAACCGCGAGGAGCGCCCUAGGGUAAAACUGGUG